RNAcentral lists this long non-coding RNA (175 nucleotides) under Mustela putorius furo (domestic ferret). Its description in RNAcentral is "lncRNA (ENSMPUG00000028940.1)". The record is from RNAcentral. Lineage: Eukaryota; Metazoa; Chordata; Mammalia; Carnivora; Mustelidae.
CUGAGCCCUAGUGUUCCUUUAACCAAUGUUAAAGCACGCAUCAAAAACACAUUUUAACACAGUUCUUGCCCAGUCAUAACUGUUUGGGAUUUCAAGAAAAGGAAGACCCCCCCCCCCCCAGCAGUGUUAGGAAGCUCUAACACAUGAUCCGUUCAUGUGCUAUGUAAACUGGAGG